Molecule: ribosomal RNA, 751 nt
Filed under: uncultured Hymenogaster
Lineage: Eukaryota; Fungi; Basidiomycota; Agaricomycetes; Agaricales; Hymenogastraceae
Description: eukaryotic LSU rRNA
Rfam family: 5.8S ribosomal RNA (bases 314-468)
Source: RNAcentral
CUUGGUCAUUUAGAGGAAGUAAAAGUCGUAACAAGGUUUCCGUAGGUGAACCUGCGGAAGGAUCAUUAUUGAAUGAACUUGGUGUGGUUGUUGCUGGCCCUCUUGCCGGGGCAUGUGCACACCCACCAUCCUCAUCUCCCCACUUGUGCACCUAUUGUAGACCUGGAUAGACUUUUCCGAGGCAACUCGGUCCUGAGGAAUGCUGCGCUCUUUGGGCAAGCUUUCCUUGUAUAUCCAGGCCUAUGUUUUUCAUGUACCCCAUAGUAUGUAACAAGAAUGUAUCAUUGGGCCUUUGUGCCUAUAAACCUUAUACAACUUUCAGCAACGGAUCUCUUGGCUCUCGCAUCGAUGAAGAACGCAGCGAAAUGCGAUAAGUAAUGUGAAUUGCAGAAUUCAGUGAAUCAUCGAAUCUUUGAACGCACCUUGCGCCCUUUGGCCAUUCCGAAGGGCAUGCCUGUUUGAGUAUCAUGAACACCUCAACUCCUCAUGGUCUUCUAUGAUGAGCUUGGACUUUGGGGGUUUGCUGGCCCAUUCGGUCAGCUCCUCUCAAAUGAAUCAGCUUACCAGUGUUUGGUGGCACCACAGGUGUGAUAACGAUCUACGCUUGAGGUUUUCCACCAGGCAACCUUCAGUAAUGGGGGUUCACUGGGGCUCACAAAUGUCUUUCUUCAGUGAGGACAGCUCUUUGAAUGUUUGAUCUCAAAUCAGGUAGGACUACCCGCUGAACUUAAGCAUAUCAAUAAGCGGAGGA